Molecule: ribosomal RNA, 1369 nt
Filed under: Escherichia coli
Lineage: Bacteria; Pseudomonadati; Pseudomonadota; Gammaproteobacteria; Enterobacterales; Enterobacteriaceae
Description: partial 23S ribosomal RNA
Rfam family: Bacterial large subunit ribosomal RNA
Source: RNAcentral
GGCACUACGGUGCUGAAGCAACAAAUGCCCUGCUUCCAGGAAAAGCCUCUAAGCAUCAGGUAACAUCAAAUCGUACCCCAAACCGACACAGGUGGUCAGGUAGAGAAUACCAAGGCGCUUGAGAGAACUCGGGUGAAGGAACUAGGCAAAAUGGUGCCGUAACUUCGGGAGAAGGCACGCUGAUAUGUAGGUGAAGUCCCUCGCGGAUGGAGCUGAAAUCAGUCGAAGAUACCAGCUGGCUGCAACUGUUUAUUAAAAACACAGCACUGUGCAAACACGAAAGUGGACGUAUACGGUGUGACGCCUGCCCGGUGCCGGAAGGUUAAUUGAUGGGGUUAGCGGUAACGCGAAGCUCUUGAUCGAAGCCCCGGUAAACGGCGGCCGUAACUAUAACGGUCCUAAGGUAGCGAAAUUCCUUGUCGGGUAAGUUCCGACCUGCACGAAUGGCGUAAUGAUGGCCAGGCUGUCUCCACCCGAGACUCAGUGAAAUUGAACUCGCUGUGAAGAUGCAGUGUACCCGCGGCAAGACGGAAAGACCCCGUGAACCUUUACUAUAGCUUGACACUGAACAUUGAGCCUUGAUGUGUAGGAUAGGUGGGAGGCUUUGAAGUGUGGACGCCAGUCUGCAUGGAGCCGGCCUUGAAAUACCACCCUUUAAUGUUUGAUGUUCUAACGUUGGCCCCUGAUCGGGGUUGCGGACAGUGUCUGGUGGGUAGUUUGACUGGGGCGGUCUCCUCCUAAAGAGUAACGGAGGAGCACGAAGGUUGGCUAAUCCUGGUCGGACAUCAGGAGGUUAGUGCAAUGGCAUAAGCCAGCUUGACUGCGAGCGUGACGGCGCGAGCAGGUGCGAAAGCAGGUCAUAGUGAUCCGGUGGUUCUGAAUGGAAGGGCCAUCGCUCAACGGAUAAAAGGUACUCCGGGGAUAACAGGCUGAUACCGCCCAAGAGUUCAUAUCGACGGCGGUGUUUGGCACCUCGAUGUCGGCUCAUCACAUCCUGGGGCUGAAGUAGGUCCCAAGGGUAUGGCUGUUCGCCAUUUAAAGUGGUACGCGAGCUGGGUUUAGAACGUCGUGAGACAGUUCGGUCCCUAUCUGCCGUGGGCGCUGGAGAACUGAGGGGGGCUGCUCCUAGUACGAGAGGACCGGAGUGGACGCAUCACUGGUGUUCGGGUUGUCAUGCCAAUGGCACUGCCCGGUAGCUAAAUGCGGAAGAGAUAAGUGCUGAAAGCAUCUAAGCACGAAACUUGCCCCGAGAUGAGUUCUCCCUGACUCCUUGAGAGUCCUGAAGGAACGUUGAAGACGACGACGUUGAUAGGCCGGGUGUGUAAGCGCAGCGAUGCGUUGAGCUAACCGGUACUAAUGAACCGUGAGG